UGGGGAAUAUUGCACAAUGGGCGCAAGCCUGAUGCAGCCAUGCCGCGUGUAUGAAGAAGGCCUUCGGGUUGUAAAGUACUUUCAGCGGGGAGGAAGGCGAUGGGGUUAAUAACCGCGUCGAUUGACGUUACCCGCAGAAGAAGCACCGGCUAACUCCGUGCCAGCAGCCGCGGUAAUACGGAAGGUGCAAGCGUUAAUCGGAAUUACUGGGCGUAAAGCGCACGCAGGCGGUCUGUUAAGUCAGAUGUGAAAUCCCCGGGCUUAACCUGGGAACUGCAUUCGAAACUGGCAGACUAGAGUCUUGUAGAGGGGGGUAGAAUUCCAGGUGUAGCGGUGAAAUGCGUAGAGAUCUGGAGGAAUACCGGUGGCGAAGGCGGCCCCCUGGACAAAGACUGACGCUCAGGUGCGAAAGCGUGGGGAGCAAACAGGAUUAGAUACCCUGGUAGUCCACGCCGUAAACGAUGUCGACUUGGAGGCUGUUUCCUUGAGAAGUGGCUUCCGGAGCUAACGCGUUAAGUCGACCGCCUGGGGAGUACGGCCGCAAGGUUAAAACUCAAAUGAAUUGACGGGGGCCCGCACAAGCGGUGGAGCAUGUGGUUUAAUUCGAUGC
This 610-nucleotide ribosomal RNA is filed under the name uncultured Pantoea sp. Its description in RNAcentral is "bacterial SSU rRNA". It matches the Rfam family "Bacterial small subunit ribosomal RNA", at positions 355 to 957 of the family's 1533-position model. The record is from RNAcentral. Lineage: Bacteria; Pseudomonadati; Pseudomonadota; Gammaproteobacteria; Enterobacterales; Erwiniaceae.